RNAcentral lists this long non-coding RNA (1038 nucleotides) under Canis lupus familiaris (dog). RNAcentral's name for it is "lncRNA (ENSCAFG00040014996.1)". The record is from RNAcentral. Lineage: Eukaryota; Metazoa; Chordata; Mammalia; Carnivora; Canidae.
AUGGAAAAUUUGAGGCACAGAGGAAGGAAGUCACUUACCAAAGAGAAAGAGAGAAAGAGAGAGAGAGAGAGAGGUCAAGGAAGAGUGUCAGAGGCCAAAAGAGUGUCUCUCCCCCCCGCCCCCCGCCCCCCAGUUGCCAGCCCAGCACGUUUGCGCCCCUGCCCCAGGCCUGGUCAGAGACCAUUCAAUGACGCCAUGCCCCUUGACUCUUCUCUUGUCCAGGCGACAAGCCUCCAUCUGCCCAGGCUCAGGACAAUUUCAUUCAGUGGCUGCUGUGGCUGGGCCCCCGACCAGGAGCACAUGGCUCCCAGGUGGCCCAAGCCCCUGAUACCCCCAGACGUCCCGCAGCCCUUCUCCCAGAGAGCCCAGGAGAGCGGGCAGCCCGUGCUUACCGGGGUCCCAGCUCCCCACGCUCAGCUGCCCACCAGACUGGAUGCAGCUGCCACCUGCACGAAGGGCUCAGAGCUGGGGUCACGCGUCUGGGACAGUCUGCAGACACACGUCCCCUCUUCCUCUGUCUCACUCCGGGGCUCGGCAGUCUGGGGCUCUCUUUGGAUGUCACUUCUUCCCUGUGUGACUGUCUCCCUCUCCGCCUCUCCCUCUCUUUCCCGGCCAGGGCAGCUGUCCAGCCGCACCGCUGCCCUCCCCGCUCGCCACUCCAGAGCCUUCCCUCAGGAGGCGGAGUCAGAGGGGCCUCCAAGGUCCGGGUGCGGUGACAUCAGCGCGGAGGGAGGCCGGCUGUGCUGCUCAGGGCCCUGCGCUGGGGCCGGCGCGCAGUGGAGGCAGGGCCCCGGGUCCCCGGGCGUGCUGCUGAGCAGCGGGACUGGACACCGCCUCCCCCAGCUUCCCCUGCCUAUUAUAUGUAAUAAGGCCACCUGCUCCCGGCACGUGGGCGGGGAACCUCCUGAUCCCGACCGGGUCACAGAUUUGCUGAGUCUCGGCAUCUGCCGCGUCCACCAAGGCCGUGUUCUCCGUAAACGCCUGCUUGGCACUCCUGAGAGGAGCCGACCUGGCAGGGCAGGGCCGGGCGGGGGGUAG